RNAcentral lists this long non-coding RNA (1074 nucleotides) under Betta splendens (Siamese fighting fish). RNAcentral describes it as "lncRNA (ENSBSLG00000013805.1)". Lineage: Eukaryota; Metazoa; Chordata; Actinopteri; Anabantiformes; Osphronemidae. The record is from RNAcentral.
AUGAAGCUGAUGAAGAUGAAGCUGAUUCUGUUUCUCUCUCUCGCCUGGAUGAUCUGCAACACAGCAGAAACUCUCCGGUGUUUCAAAGGUUUUGGUCCUGGUGUUCUUGGCCCGUGUCACUUUGCUGGUGAUUGGUGUGCAACUUUUACAAUUACUUCAGCUUUUGAAGGAAGUCCUGCAAAAGAUGUUGAGAGGUCGUGUCUGCCGUCUUUUCUUUGUUCUGCACCCAAUCAGUUUUUGUCCUUCAGUAACGCAAAGUUGUCUUUAGCUGAACAUCUUCACUGCUGCAAAACAGGCGGCUGCAACCACCAGGAUUUCCCAUAUCCAGAACUCGGCAAACCAAACGGCCUCAAGUGUUUGACCUGCACUGGUUUGGGUCCUGAUCAUGUGUGUAACAGCACCGUGGAGUGUGUGGGAACACAGGACCGCUGCGUAGACGUCUACGUGAAACAUGGACACGAAGUUGCUCCUUACGCUGGCUGUGUUUCUUCAAACGCGUGUGAUUUGGUUUCUCAGUUGAAAUUCCGACAGGAUUUUGCUGCUCGUUUUAAAUACACCAUUACACCACGAGUUGCAGGAAGCAGCUUCUGCAGCUCCGCUCACAUUACACCAAGCUUUACAGGAAGCAGCUUCUGCAGCUCUGCCCAGGUUUGUCAUUAUCAACCCUGAUGUUGCUGCUUUGCUGCUUGGUUUGUUCACUAUGUUCGUUUUUCAGAACCACUGUUAAACUCAAGAUCAGACUUUAUUAAUCCCACGAUGGGGAAAUUCGUUUGUUUGCAGCAGCGAUAUAACAUUGAACAAAAACAGUCAAAAACAAGAUAGAAACAAACAAUAUUAAGAUGUACAAGAAAAGACAAGGCACUCGACUAAAACUGAAAAAUACAGAAAGAGCACGUCUCAUCUUAUUAUGCUCUGCUUAUAUGAUCUUAUUUCUGUUUUGAAUCUGUAUGAUGAUGCUGUAAUCAAAUCAUGGUUUUUGCAAAUUUUUCAAAUCCUGUCAAACAUUCUUCUGCGUCUCAUAUUAAAGCUUAAACUUCUUCAAUAAAGCCUUUUCAUAUUCAGUUUCUGAUCCCA